Symphalangus syndactylus (siamang) is the source of this 746-nucleotide long non-coding RNA. RefSeq lists it as uncharacterized. The record is from RefSeq and is a predicted model, not a curated record. Lineage: Eukaryota; Metazoa; Chordata; Mammalia; Primates; Hylobatidae.
CCUUGGAGGAGUUGUCGACUGCUGCCAGUCGGGGGCAAAGCCCUCUGUUCACGCCCAGGCCUGGCCCUGCAAAGGCCAGACAGCGGUGUCAACACUGCUGGCAGAUUUAAAAUCACCGUCGCAGUACUGAAGCUGGGUCAGGGAGCUGAGCCACACUCUGAGGAAGCCUGACUCCCACUAUGGACUGGUGGCAGCUUCUCCAAAGUCUGGGUUCAGUUCCCAGGAGGAAGUGGCUUCUGAAGAGCACAUUUGGAUGCGGGAGAGUGACAGCGGGAGGGGCACGCGACAGGAAGGAAGCCCCUUGACAGAAGGCUGGCGGAUUAACGCAGCAUACAGUAGAGACAGGGUUUCACCGUGGUCUCGACCUCCUGACCUCGUGAUCCGCCCGCCUCGGCCUCCCAAAGUGCUGGGAUUACAAGCGUGAGCCACCGCGCCUGGCCAAGAUUCUUAAAGACACAUCACCACAGUCAUCUGAAGAAUUCCUUCCACCUAAGAACCUGCUCGCCUGACUCUACCCUGCUGGAUGGAAAGAAGGACUGGGCACAUAUUUGAUUAUCCAGUGAGGACUUGCUGAGCGCCUGCUAUGGCCAGGCUCUGUGCGAGAUGGUUAGGGAACGUCAGUGAACAAACAUGGUAGACACAGCCACUCUCCCCUUGCUCCUUGCUCACCAAACAAAGUUCAUUCCAACUCUCACCCUGGCCCUUGGGGUCUUUGUUGUUUAAGCCAAUCAUGAUGUUAUAUUCCC